GUUAAAUGUAGUGGGUUGUUAGCCACGGAGUUGAGAGUUGUAGUGCUACAAUCUCCUACACUUAAAUAUUUGUGUCCUGACUGUGAACUAGGGGUACGGCAGUUGCCAGCUUUAAGGAAUAUGGUGACCCAGCUGAAAACUGAAAUUGAGGCCCUGAAAAGCAAACAAAGUGAAGGUUCAAGCAUGGAGUGCAUUUUGGCAGAGUUAGCAGAGAGGAAAAAACGCAGUGCGAACGUUAUUAUGUUUGGUAUUGGUGAGUGUUCGCGACAGACUGGCGACGUCGCCCGGGACAAGGAGGUACGUGUUGCACAUGAUUUAUCGCAGGUCCAAGCAGCUCUCUCAGGCGUGCCGGAGGCAGAGGUGCCGGUGGCCGUAAUCCGUCUAGGCAAACCCAGAGCUGACGCCGUGGCUCGCCCACUCAAAGUCGUUUUCACCAAUAAAAGAGCUGCCCUUAAGGUUUUGAAAAAUAACAGUAAGCUUCCGAGUAACGUGUCCGCCAAAAAUGAUCAAACACCAUAUCAGCGGGACUAUUUGAAAAAGUUGCGUGAAGAAUUACAACGCAGAAUCGAUAGUGGUGAAACCGACUUGACUUUGAAAUAUGUGAAUAAUUCCCCAAAGAUUGUUAGUUCAAAAAAGUUAUAACUAACGAUACUGGGAUAUUAGAAUUUACAUUCUUAUACACGAACUUGGCAUCCCUAACGGCUAAACGAGAUUUGCUUAUUAUAGAAGUUAACAGAUUGAAACCAACUUGUAUCAUCAUUACUGAAACACACUUAAAACCAUCGAUAGAAUUAAAGGAACGGGCUGGGGAGGAGUCGCUAUAUACAUAUCUCAUACGCUUUACGGCAGACCUAUACAAGUAAUCCCGCACCCGAUUUAUAACUCUCACCCCCAGGUCGAGGCAUUGUGGCUAAACUUGAAAUAUGAAAGUUAUACAAUUACAAUUGCAGGAAUAUAUCGCCCAACACAUUACACGUUUGAAGAUACUGAUAGAAUAUUAUUUGAAACAAUUAAUAAAGCUGCUAUGGAUCCCAACCCCCUGAUAAUAAUGGGUGAUUUUAACUUGCCUGACCUCAAGUGGCCGUUGGAUGACGUUGAUACCGAUAAGUACAACACACUUCAUGCUAGCUUUCUCGAUAUGUUUGUAAACAGUAACCUAAACCAACUAGUGACUGAAAUAACAAGGAAGCGGAAUAGUGAGGAAUCUUUACUUGACCUAAUUAUGUGCAACGAAGAAAACCUUUGUACUAAAGUACAAUACUACCCUAACAUAGGAAAAAGCGACCACCUAGUACUCCUAGCAACAUUACAGACUGAGCUAAAAUCAAACAGAAGUACCUGUACGCAAGAAGUAAGAAGAAACUUUUUUAAAGCUGAUUUUCAGGAAAUUAUGAACACCAUUUCAACAAACACAACCGAUUUCACAGACACCGUUAACAUUGAUGAAGCUUGGAAACUAUUUAAGACGAAAUCACACACUGCUAUCGAGACCCAUGUACCAUUGACAACUAAAAAUAAAAAGUUAAAUGUAAAUAAACCAUGGAUAACAAAACAAGUACUAGAAAAGGUAGAAAAUAAAUUAAAACUUUGGAAAGAGUAUAAAUCAAAUGGCUGUGAAAAAUCAUAUAAAGCAUAUAGAACUGAAAAUAAUAAACUGGUGACACUAGUCAGAAAAUUAAGAGCUGAAUUUGAAAGAGGAAUAGUGAACUGCGGUCCAAAAUCGUUUUAUAGUUACAUUCGUAAGCAGCUAUCCUCUGAGGUAUCCGUACCUCCUUCACUGAGAGAUGAGAAGGGGGAUAUCACGAACGAUCAGAAAAAUGUCGCCGAACUUUUUGCUCAUCAAUUUGAGAAAUCCUUUGUUUGUGAACCAGCACACACGAACAUUCCGGACGUUCAGAUGCCUCGUGUAGAAAAUUCAAUCGAAUCAGUAUGCUUCACUCCUGAGAACGUGGCAAAAACGUUAGCAGCAUUUAGCGACUCCACCUCAAUGGGCCCGGAUACUCUUCCCUCUGUUUUUCUUAAAAAGUGCAGUAGCGUGCUUGUCCAUGACCUGGCUUUUAUAAUGAAUUUAUCCCUCAAGAAUGGAACCCUACCUCGAGACUGGAAGGAAGCACAUGUCACUCCCAUAUAUAAAAAAGGUGAUAAGUUUGUUGCUGCUAACUAUCGUCCAAUCAGCCUCACAAGUAUAGUCUGCAAAACUAUGGAAAAAAUUAUAGUCACUGAAUUGCGAAAUUUCAUAAGUAGGGAGAAUGUAAUUAUCAAUGAGCAGCAUGGCUUCAUACCGAAAAGAUCCACAGUGACGAAUCUUCUUGUGUGUCUUGAGAAGUGGACACGUGACUGGGACAAUCGUCAGCCUACGGACGUCAUAUACCUAGACUACGAAAAGGCAUUUGAUCGUGUACCUAUUCGAAGGCUUAUUGCUAAAUUGGAGCACUUUGGAAUUCGUGGUCAGCUCCUUGAAUGGAUAUCGGACUUUCUAACCCACAGGAUAUUUAAAGUAAGAGUAGGGAAAACUCUAUCGAAUGCACACAACGUCUAUAGUGGUGUUCCUCAGGGAUCAGUCCUUGGACCAAUCCUGUUUGGCAUAUUUAUAACAGAUCUGAAGAGUGUAGUACAUUCGGAACUGUCAAUAUUUGCUGAUGAUACCAAAGUUAUGGGUAAUCCAUUAGUAACUCAUAAUAUUAUCCAAAGUGAUUUAGAUCGCAUAAUUCAGUGGACUAAAGACUGGCUCAUAUCACUAAAUGCUGACAAGUGCACAGUUCUACACAUAGGGAAAACAAACCCUAAACUAAAUUACCACAUUGACUCUGUUCCCCUACAAGCUGUAGCUAGUCAAAGAGACCUGGGCAUCACUGUUUCACAUAACUUGAAAUGGGACACACAUAUCACCAAAAUCACCAAGAGAGCAAAUUCUAUGCUGUAUAUGAUCCGGAAAGCAUUCCAUGUUAUUACUAAGGAACUAUUUAUUAGAAUAUACAAGUCAUAUCUUCGUC
This is a long non-coding RNA of Cydia splendana, 2993 nucleotides long. RefSeq lists it as uncharacterized. Lineage: Eukaryota; Metazoa; Arthropoda; Insecta; Lepidoptera; Tortricidae. The record is from RefSeq and is a predicted model, not a curated record. The transcript has 2 exons.